UACGUAGGGGGCUAGCGUUGUUCGGAAUUACUGGGCGUAAAGCGCACGUAGGCGGAUUGUUAAGUCGGGGGUGAAAUCCUGAGGCUCAACCUCAGAACUGCCUUCGAUACUGGCAAUCUCGAGUCCGGAAGAGGUGAGUGGAACUCCGAGUGUAGAGGUGAAAUUCGUAGAUAUUCGCAAGAACACCAGUGGCGAAGGCGGCUCACUGGUCCGGUACUGACGCUGAGGUGCGAAAGCGUGGGGAGCAAACAGG
Molecule: ribosomal RNA, 253 nt
Filed under: uncultured bacterium
Lineage: Bacteria
Description: partial 16S ribosomal RNA
Rfam family: Bacterial small subunit ribosomal RNA
Source: RNAcentral